Molecule: non-coding RNA, 569 nt
Organism: Triticum urartu
Lineage: Eukaryota; Viridiplantae; Streptophyta; Magnoliopsida; Poales; Poaceae
Source: RefSeq, a predicted model, not a curated record
UAUCUUUUUGGUAUCUUGCCUGAGUGUGAUCUGAGCUGGACCCUGUUUAUCCUAGAAGCUGCACCUGCCCUACGGAAUUUCAAGUUAUCUCGAACUCGACAUACAUGUGGCAAAAAGCUUUACGAUACUGCCGAAAAGACGAAUGUGGUGUGGGAGCCAUCGAAGGAUCUGAAGCAUCUGAACUUGAAGUUGCUGAUGAUGUUAGGGUUCGAGGAGGAGGUCAAGGUGACAAACUAUAUAAGGCUAGUCAUGGCACAUGUUGUGAGGUUGAAGAGAAUCGAGCUUCAUGGUGAGGACCCAUGCAAGGAGUGCAAUGCCAUUGAUCCGAGGAGAUCCCAGGUGGAUGAAGCUAGCAGGCGUCAGAUUAAGGAGCGACUCACACUUGAAUCUUCCUCCUCUGCGAAGAUAAUAAUUUGUUGAUGGGUAUGGUCAAGAAAUGAUAAUAAUCUCAUAAAAUAAGUGAUCAUGGCUUCUGCUAGAGCGAUGAUGGAUAUUGGUUUAAAAAAUACUUAUUGGUGUCGACUUUACAUUACAGCGUGUGUAGUAUUAUUUGUGCACUACUUUUCAAA